UAGGUCAGUGAUGCAGUUUGUUUUUUCGAGUCUCUUGACCAUGAGACAUUAACAUGCAAUACCAUCUGAGACCUA
Protopterus annectens (West African lungfish) is the source of this 75-nucleotide small nucleolar RNA. The record is from RefSeq and is a predicted model, not a curated record. Lineage: Eukaryota; Metazoa; Chordata; Ceratodontiformes; Protopteridae.